This 460-nucleotide ribosomal RNA is filed under the name uncultured bacterium. RNAcentral describes it as "partial 16S ribosomal RNA". It matches the Rfam family "Bacterial small subunit ribosomal RNA", at positions 338 to 795 of the family's 1533-position model. The record is from RNAcentral.
CCUACGGGUGGCAGCAGUGAGGAAUAUUCGUCAAUGGACGCAAGUCUGAACCAGCCAUGCCGCGUGCAGGAAGACGGCCCUCUGAGUUGUAAACUGCUUUUUUACGAGGGAAAAUUCAGAUUCGCGAAUCUUUCUGAACUUACCGUACGAAUAAGGACAGGGUAACCCCGCGCCAGCAGCCGCGGUAAUACGGCGGAUUCAUGCGUUAUCCGGAUUUAUUGGGUUUAAAGGGAGCGUAGGCGGUCGGAUAAGUUAGAGGUGAAAUCCCGAGGCUCAACUGCGGACUUGCUUCUGAUACUGUGAGGCUAGAGAGUAGUUGCGGUAGGCGGAAUGUAAGGUGUAGCGGUGAAAUGCGUAGAGAUCAGACAGAACACCGAUUGCGAAGGCAGCUUACCAAGCUACUUCUGACGUUGAGGCACGAAAGCGUGGGGAGCAAACAGGAUUAGAUACCCUUGUAGUC